AGCCUCAUUCCAUAUGAGAGUGGCCACAGUUGUUCAUGGCAUCUGGAAUUGCUAAUGUGGCUAAAUUGAGCCACAAGUUAUGCCUCCAUUAUGGUAAAUUUAGUGCAGUGUUGACAAUGAGACCUGUAACUUUU
Molecule: small nucleolar RNA, 134 nt
Filed under: Dasypus novemcinctus (nine-banded armadillo)
Lineage: Eukaryota; Metazoa; Chordata; Mammalia; Cingulata; Dasypodidae
Description: Small nucleolar RNA SNORA1 (ENSDNOG00000047876.1)
Rfam family: Small nucleolar RNA SNORA1
About the family: ACA1 is a member of the H/ACA class of snoRNA that guide the sites of modification of uridines to pseudouridines.
Source: RNAcentral